This 218-nucleotide long non-coding RNA is filed under the name Salvia miltiorrhiza (redroot sage). RNAcentral describes it as "long non-coding RNA (SMIL_LNC013678)". Lineage: Eukaryota; Viridiplantae; Streptophyta; Magnoliopsida; Lamiales; Lamiaceae. The record is from RNAcentral.
UUUUUGAUACAAUUGAUAAAUCUGCUAUGAAUUUAACAUACAUACCUAAAUACAAUAAAAACACCCAAAGAGUUCUAAUCGAUCCAAGCUUUUUCAAUUAAAAAUUCACCAAAUUUUGGAAAUUUUUGAAAACAAAAAAAAAUGUGUUUUCACCACGUUUUCAUUCACCAACCUCUCUUACAUUAGCAUUCAUUAUCCAUUAAUGUAAUCGUACGAUG